GGACCAUGCAGCCACUGCAUUCUAACAUGCAUUUAAUGCCCAUAGUUUUACUUUUUCAUUUGAAAUUUUGAAUGAUAAAAAUGUUUCUCAUCUUCUGAAAAAAUUAUAACAUCUGGUGUCUAUAUUAUGGAAGAAAAAAUUUAUCCAAUCAGAUUGGAUGCCAGAAAGAAGGAAAAGAUUUCUAAUUUAAAAUUUUCAUAACUCUUAUGAAAGUUACCCCAAUGCAUAGUGAAAAAUUGAUCGAGGUUGAUUGAUUCUUGAAAAUCAUUGCUUCGCGAGAUCCGA
RNAcentral lists this long non-coding RNA (285 nucleotides) under Elaeis guineensis (African oil palm). RNAcentral describes it as "long non-coding RNA (EGUI_LNC053740)". The record is from RNAcentral. Lineage: Eukaryota; Viridiplantae; Streptophyta; Magnoliopsida; Arecales; Arecaceae.